Long non-coding RNA from Acanthochromis polyacanthus (spiny chromis), 475 nucleotides. RefSeq lists it as uncharacterized. Lineage: Eukaryota; Metazoa; Chordata; Actinopteri; Pomacentridae. The record is from RefSeq and is a predicted model, not a curated record. The transcript is spliced from 2 exons.
GUACUUUGGAUUUUAUGACGCGCAAGGGAGACUGGUGGAAGAAAGCAGCCCAGUCUGCCGAAAAUGCCACAAGAAAAUAUCGGCAAAGGGUGGAAACACGUCCAACAUGCUGGCUCAUCUACGGGACCACCAACUGCAACGAGUUAAAGAGAGGACGUGUAGUGGACAGAACCAGAACAAAUCCUUGAACAGCUUCUACUUCUUCGGUCACAGUGGCACAAACAAUAACCCAGGCGUUUGAAAGGAAGGCUGCUUAUGCACUGACAUCGAAACGUGCCAAAGACCUCACAGCAGCUAUCUCAUAUUUUAUUUACUUUUUUGUUGUACUUCGUUAUUCCUAAUGUUGCUUUCAAGCAAACGGACUACCUCCUGGCUCUUUUAAGGUCCCCUCUUUUAAUUUUUAAGCUUAUUAAUGUUAUUUAAGGUUUAAGUUCAUAUUUUGUUGUUUUUCUAAAAUAAAAACGUUGUUCAUUGA